GAUGAACGCUGGCGGCGUGCCUAAUACAUGCAAGUCGAGCGAACAGAUAAGGAGCUUGCUCCUUUGACGUUAGCGGCGGACGGGUGAGUAACACGUGGGUAACCUACCUAUAAGACUGGGAUAACUUCGGGAAACCGGAGCUAAUACCGGAUAACAUUUGGAACCGCAUGGUUCUAAAGUGAAAGAUGGUUUUGCUAUCACUUAUAGAUGGACCCGCGCCGUAUUAGCUAGUUGGUAAGGUAACGGCUUACCAAGGCAACGAUACGUAGCCGACCUGAGAGGGUGAUCGGCAACACUGGAACUGAGACACGGUCCAGACUCCUACGGGAGGCAGAAGUAGGGAAUCUUCCGCAAUGGGCGAAAGCCUGACGGAGCAACGCCGCGUGAGUGAUGAAGGGUUUCGGCUCGUAAAACUCUGUUAUUAGGGAAGAACAAAUGUGUAAGUAACUGUGCACGUCUUGACGGUACCUAAUCAGAAAGCCACGGCUAACUACGUG
Molecule: ribosomal RNA, 497 nt
Filed under: uncultured bacterium
Lineage: Bacteria
Description: partial 16S ribosomal RNA
Rfam family: Bacterial small subunit ribosomal RNA
Source: RNAcentral